Mycena latifolia is the source of this 93-nucleotide non-coding RNA. The record is from the annotation of a GenBank genome assembly. NCBI's taxonomy places the organism in Eukaryota, Fungi, Basidiomycota, Agaricomycetes, Agaricales, Mycenaceae.
GCAUCAGUGGUGUAUGGAACACACACUGACCGUAUCAAGAAUAACUGUAUUGCUCCUUGGCGGUGAGACGGGGUUCGAUUCCCUGCUGGUGCA